CCCUCCCCUUUCUCCUUUUCUGGUUGAUCCCAUAGUUUGGGAUACCUCCAAUCCCACCCACACUACCCAUGCCAUGCCUAUUUUAAUUCAUCUCAGGGAUCCUUCAAUUUUUCCUUGCAUUCUCCAAUAUCCUAUAGCUCCUAAACAUUUACAUGGAUUUAAACCUAUAAUCAAGCAUCUUUUAGAAAUGGUUUUCUUAAACUUACCCAUUCACCCUACAAUACUCCCAUUCUCCUGGUACUCAAGCCUAGUGGGUCCUAUAAUCUGAUAUAAGACCUUAGGAUAAUCAAUGAUGCUGUUACUCCAAUUCACCCAGUGCUGCCAAACCCUUAUACCAUGCUCUAUCAUAUCCCUCCCUCCACCAUUUACUUUACAGUCAUAGAUCUUUAAAAUGCCUUUUUUCUUUUUACCAUCCUCCUUAUACCCUGAUUGUCAGGAUUCCUUUGUGUUUAGGUAGACUGACCCAGACACUCUGAGGUCUCAACAACUUAUAGCUGUCAUCUCUAUAGUAGAACCUCUCCUCAGGGAGGAAUACCAUCCCCUUUCUAUCUUAUUCAUCAAUUUCGCAGACACUCCCCUGGUCAGGACUGACAGAUUUUACACACAUGUCCCACCACAAAACUCUCAAAUAUCUUCUCACCUUUGUUUGUACUUUCUCAGGAUAUCUAUCUAGAUCUCCCUCAACCAGGGAGACUGCUGAUGUAGUUACUAAACUUCUGUUACAGGAAAUCAUCCCAAGGUUUGGUUUACCUCAGAGUGUUCAGUCAGAUAAUGGUCCAGCCUUUAUUCCUCAAGUCUUUCAACAGGACUACAACUAAAAUGGAGUGGUCCAUACAUGGUCUUCCUCAAGGAAGGUCAAGAUCACUGAACUGCCAUACUGGUUCCACAUCACUCAAGCUAAUCGCUGCCCUCCUAACCCUAACUCCCCCGACUCUUCACAUUGUGAGAGGUCAUCUCAUCUCCUAUCUCCCAUUUCCAUCUCACUAAGGCCCCACAGCCACAAUUUUCAGGCUAGGUCAUGUUUUAUUACCCUAUUUGGUUUCUGAUCCCUUCUAUUCUAUUGGUUAAAAUUUUUCAUUAUAACUAUCUUAGUUCUCUCGGCCCUCAGAUGUUUAGUCAAACAUGUGAUCCCUGUGGGUCUAGCCUCUCAUCUCCCUUAUAGUGACACAGCCACAGCCCACCCCACACUCUCUGUAAUUUCCCAAAUAUGAUUCAAUCAUCAGGCCUUUUAUUUCACAUGCCUCUUAUUCUUUGCAGCUCAACUCCUGGACCAAAGACAAGUCCUACCUAGCUACACUUUUAGCUUUUACCCUUUCAGAUGAGAGAAUAAUCACCUCUCAUAACUUAACUCCUCCUAACCCCACACUUAUUUUUCAGAUUCUACCUCACCAUUGCCCCUGAUGGAAUGACAUAUUUAAAUCAAAGUCACCUUUCCUUCUGCCUCUCCUGGGUCCUUAAAUAUGAUUAGUGGCCUGCCUCCUCAUACCACCUUGUCUCUUUGUUUUUCCAAUCUAGGAUGUGAGCAUUCAUCAAUGAUUAAUUCUUUGUCCUGCCUGAAAUGCCUGGUACCAGCUUCUACAUGGACAGCAACCAUCCUCCCAUCAACCUUCCUGAACACCAAUGCAGUGCCCCCUUCAGCAGGAAGUAACCCAUAUACAUGUGUGCCACAUGAAAGCUGAAGAGGAGAAGUGCAGAGAGCCGCUGAAGCUGGAGAUUGAUCCCACGUGUGGGGCUAACACAAGGCCAGCCCGGAAAAAACAGAAAGACCAAAGCAAGCUAUGUAAACAAGUUGUUCCAGCACCAAGAGGGCAAGGGCCCAGGCCUGCCAGGCAGUGGGGUGCUGGGCAGAGGGGCUGAAACUGAUAUCAGCUUUCCCAGUGUAUAAAUAAAGGUGUCAUAGUGGUUGAGCAGUUCCUUUCCUCCCAUCAGGCGGCUAAGGGCUCCAGCUUUGUCCUCUCUUUUUUUUCUCGUCCUCUCGCUGGUCCUUAACCCCAAGAACCUCAAGAGCUGCAUUGGGUCAUGGCAGAGAAGGAAGGCCAGGCAAGAAUAAGAUGAGGAAAA
Cavia porcellus (domestic guinea pig) is the source of this 2061-nucleotide long non-coding RNA. RefSeq lists it as uncharacterized. The record is from RefSeq and is a predicted model, not a curated record. NCBI's taxonomy places the organism in Eukaryota, Metazoa, Chordata, Mammalia, Rodentia, Caviidae. The transcript is spliced from 2 exons.